This 439-nucleotide ribosomal RNA is filed under the name uncultured bacterium. Its description in RNAcentral is "partial 16S ribosomal RNA". It matches the Rfam family "Bacterial small subunit ribosomal RNA", at positions 339 to 795 of the family's 1533-position model. The record is from RNAcentral.
CUACGGGUGGCAGCAGUGGGGAAUAUUGUACAAUGGAGGAAACUCUGAUGCAGCAACGCCGCGUGGAGGAUGACACUUUUCGGAGCGUAAACUCCUUUUAUAUAGGAAGAAGAUGACGGUACUAUAUGAAUAAGCGCCGGCUAACUCCGUGCCAGCAGCCGCGGUAAUACGGAGGGCGCAAGCGUUACUCGGAAUCACUGGGCGUAAAGAGCGUGUAGGCGGAUUAAAAAGUCAGAAGUGAAAUCCUAUAGCUUAACUAUAGAACUGCUUCUGAAACUCUUAAUCUAGAAUAUGGGAGAGGUAGAUGGAAUUUCUGGUGUAGGGGUAAAAUCCGUAGAGAUCAGAAGAAAUACCGAUUGCGAAGGCGAUCUACUAGAACAUUAUUGACGCUGAGACGCGAAAGCGUGGGGAGCAAACAGGAUUAGAUACCCUCGUAGUC